GAUGAACGCUGGCGGCGUGCUUAACACAUGCAAGUCGAACGGAAAGGCCCUGCUCUUGUGGGGUGCUCGAUUGGCGAACGGGUGAGUAACACGCGAGUAUCCUGCCCAUGACUUUGGGAUAACUUUAGGAAAAUGGGGCUAAUACCGGAUAGGAUCUCCUGCUGCAUGGUGGGGGUUGGUAAGAUUCGGCGGUUGGGGAUGGUCUGGCGGGUUAUCAGCUUGUUGGUGGGGUUGUGGCUUACGAAGCCUUUGAAGGGUAGCCGGCCUGGGAGGGUGACCGGCCACAAUAGUACUGCGGGACGGCCCAGACGCGUACGGGAGGCAGCAGUCGGGAAUAUUGCAGAAUAAGGGGAAGCCAGAUACAGCAGCGCCGCGUGCGGGAUGACGUGUUUCGAGUUAUAAACCACUUUGUCCGGAGACAUGGCGUGAUUGACGGUAAUGGGUAAAGAAGCACCGGCUAACUACGUG
This 468-nucleotide ribosomal RNA is filed under the name uncultured bacterium. RNAcentral's name for it is "partial 16S ribosomal RNA". It matches the Rfam family "Bacterial small subunit ribosomal RNA", at positions 28 to 507 of the family's 1533-position model. The record is from RNAcentral.